GAGAAAUGUCAGGAUAUUUAAUGGCAUUAUUUGCCCAUCACAAAUACGCAUAAUCUAUGUGUCUUUACCUAUGUUGGCCUACUGUCUAUGUCGACUGCUGUCAAACUGUAUACUACACUUCUGUUGUCUUGCACUGCUGUCGCUUGACUGUGUUGUUUUGUAUGCUGUCUUGGUGUCGUUUGACUGUGUUGUUUUGUAUGCUGUCUUGGUGUCGUUUGACUGUGUUGUUUUGUAUGCUGUCCUGGUGUCGUUUGACUGUGUUGUUUUGUAUGCUGUCCUGGUGUCGUUUGACUGUGUUGUUUUGUAUGCUGUCUUGGUGUCGUUUGACUGUGUUGUUUUGUAUGCUGUCCUGGUGUCGUUUGACUGUGUUGUUUUGUAUGCUAUCUUGGUGUCGUUUGACUGUGUUGUUUUGUAUGCUGUCCUGGUGUCGUUUGACUGUGUUGUUUUGUAUGCUGUCCUGGUGUCGUUUGACUGUGUUGUUUUGUAUGCUGUCCUGGUGUCGUUUAACUGUGUUGUUUUGUAUGCUGUCUUGGUGUCGUUUGACUGUGUUGUUGCAAACCAAAUCUCAUUCUAUGCAUAUUAUGGAACUGAGUCUAUGUCUGAUUAAUCCGGUAAAUUGGUGAGGCUGUGAGAAAUCUAUAAAACAUUUUGAAUACUUUUUCGUGUUCCCAUUUCUAUUAUUACAUUUUAUUUGGAAACCCGUUGGUUGUAACUUCAUGUUUUGUCUUGCCUGUUCUUGUCCAGAAAAAAAUCGAUGAAUCGCCAAUAACACUGAAAAAUUAUUUAGAUUACAGUUUUUGGCCAUAUCGCCCAGCCCUAAUUAGCUAUUCCCUGUGGUGGGUGAACGCUGCUGUUUGUGGCAGAUGUUAGAUGUUGGAUUUUGAGGACAGAGUUUGUGAACAUUGGAGCUUGUGGAUGCUGGAGUUGGGCCAUUUCAGGAGCAGUAGAGAAUGGGUCUGUGGAUUUGGAGUCACUGGAUUAGUAGACUGUGUGUCUGCUCCGGCUCUGACUCUGGCUCUGGCUCUGGCUCUGGCUCUGGCUCUGGCUCUGGCUCUGGCUCUGGCUCUGGCUCUGGGAGCUUGUGUUCAGGGCUGGGAGGGGUAAGAGAGUUGCAUUAAUAAGAGGGUUUUCAGAGAGGAUUCAUUUUCUGUAGUUUUGACAUGCUUGUGUAAGGAGUGAUGGAGAGAAGUGAGAGAAAAGAGGCAGCCGUAGCUGAAAUGAAUGACAGCACACAGAGGAGGAGGAGGAGG
Molecule: long non-coding RNA, 1250 nt
Organism: Clupea harengus (Atlantic herring)
Lineage: Eukaryota; Metazoa; Chordata; Actinopteri; Clupeiformes; Clupeidae
Source: Ensembl